This 372-nucleotide ribosomal RNA is filed under the name uncultured organism. RNAcentral describes it as "partial 16S ribosomal RNA". It matches the Rfam family "Bacterial small subunit ribosomal RNA", at positions 527 to 896 of the family's 1533-position model. The record is from RNAcentral.
GUAGGUGGCAAGCGUUGUCCGGAAUUAUUGGGCGUAAAGCGCGCGCAGGCGGUUCUUUAAGUCUGAUGUGAAAGCCCACGGGCUCAACCGUGGAGGGUCAUUGGAAACUGGAGAACUUGAGCACGGAAGAGGAAAGCGGAAUUCCACGUGUAGCGGUGAAAUGCGUAGAGAUGUGGAGGAACACCAGUGGCGAAGGCGGCUUUCUGGUCUGUAACUGACGCUGAGGCGCGAAAGCGUGGGGAGCAAACAGGAUUAGAUACCCUGGUAGUCCACGCCGUAAACGAUGAGUGCUAAGUGUUAGGGGGUUUCCGCCCCUUAGUGCUGCAGCUAACGCAUUAAGCACUCCGCCUGGGGAGUACGGCCGCAAGGCUG